UGGGGAAUUUUGGACAAUGGGCGAAAGCCUGAUCCAGCAAUGCCGCGUGUGUGAAGAAGGCCUUCGGGUUGUAAAGCACUUUUGUCCGGAAAGAAAUCCUUGGCUCUAAUACAGUCGGGGGAUGACGGUACCGGAAGAAUAAGCACCGGCUAACUACGUGCCAGCAGCCGCGGUAAUACGUAGGGUGCAAGCGUUAAUCGGAAUUACUGGGCGUAAAGCGUGCGCAGGCGGUUUGCUAAGACCGAUGUGAAAUCCCCGGGCUCAACCUGGGAACUGCAUUGGUGACUGGCAGGCUAGAGUAUGGCAGAGGGGGGUAGAAUUCCACGUGUAGCAGUGAAAUGCGUAGAGAUGUGGAGGAAUACCGAUGGCGAAGGCAGCCCCCUGGGCCAAUACUGACGCUCAUGCACGAAAGCGUGGGGAGCAAACAGGAUUAGAUACCCUGGUAGUCCACGCCCUAAAACGAUGUCAACUAGUUGUUGGGGAUUCAUUUCCUUAGUAACGUAGCUAACGCGUGAAGUUGACCGCCUGGGGAGUACGGUCGCAAGAUUAAAACUUAAAGGAAUUGACGGGG
This 571-nucleotide ribosomal RNA is filed under the name uncultured bacterium. Its description in RNAcentral is "partial 16S ribosomal RNA". It matches the Rfam family "Bacterial small subunit ribosomal RNA", at positions 355 to 918 of the family's 1533-position model. The record is from RNAcentral.